This 64-nucleotide transfer RNA is filed under the name Cavia porcellus (domestic guinea pig). It matches the Rfam family "tRNA". From Rfam's summary of the family: Transfer RNA (tRNA) molecules are approximately 80 nucleotides in length. Their secondary structure includes four short double-helical elements and three loops (D, anti-codon, and T loops). Lineage: Eukaryota; Metazoa; Chordata; Mammalia; Rodentia; Caviidae. The record is from Rfam by way of RNAcentral.
AGGGAUUUAGCUCAGUGGCAUAAGCACUUGCCUUGCAAGCAGGUGGUGGUGAUUUCAAUCCCUG